This 253-nucleotide ribosomal RNA is filed under the name uncultured bacterium. RNAcentral's name for it is "partial 16S ribosomal RNA". It matches the Rfam family "Bacterial small subunit ribosomal RNA", at positions 524 to 776 of the family's 1533-position model. The record is from RNAcentral.
UACGUAGGGUGCAAGCGUUGUCCGGAAUUAUUGGGCGUAAAGAGCUCGUAGGCGGUCUGUCGCGUCGGAUGUGAAAACCCAGGGCUCAACCCUGGGCCUGCAUUCGAUACGGGCAGACUAGAGUUCGGUAGGGGAGACUGGAAUUCCUGGUGUAGCGGUGAAAUGCGCAGAUAUCAGGAGGAACACCUGUGGCGAAAGCGGCGCACUGGACCACAACUGACGCUGAGGCGCGAAAGCGUGGGGAGCGAACAGG